UUGGAAAUUUUAGAGUUUUGACUCCAUCUGAAAUCGACGAUUACUUGGGCAAAGUGGAAUAUAGCUGGUUUUUUCCCAUAUCCUUUAGCAUCCUGAACUGCUUCAACC
Molecule: long non-coding RNA, 108 nt
Organism: Telopea speciosissima
Lineage: Eukaryota; Viridiplantae; Streptophyta; Magnoliopsida; Proteales; Proteaceae
Exons: 3
Source: RefSeq, a predicted model, not a curated record